Molecule: long non-coding RNA, 36845 nt
Filed under: Ananas comosus (pineapple)
Lineage: Eukaryota; Viridiplantae; Streptophyta; Magnoliopsida; Poales; Bromeliaceae
Description: long non-coding RNA (ACOM_LNC020665)
Source: RNAcentral
ACCUCUCAGUAUUAUACAGAAAAAACUUCAAAAAACCCUUUGCACUUUUUCAUUUUAGUAUUCCGUAGUUUAAAAUGUAUUAAGUUAGUAUCAUGUGGUUUCGUACUUUCUCACUUUAGUACCCUGUGGUUUAAAGUGUAUCAAGUUAGUAUCAUGUGGUUUUAUUUUUGUAUCAAGUUAGUAUCAUGUGGUUUUAUUUUUGUAUCAAGUUAGUACUCCGUGGUUUUAUUUUUCUCUUAAUGAAAUAUUAAAUCACAGGGUACUAAAGUCAGAAAGUAUGAAACCAUAGGAUACUAACUUGAUACACUUUGAACUAUAGAGUACUAAAGUGAGAAAGUGCAAAACCACAGAGUACUAAUUUAAUAUACUUUAAACCAUAUGAUACUAAAGUGAGAAAAAAUGAAACCAUCAGGGGGUAUUUGAAGUUUUCGCUAUAUAUAUAUAUAUACUAAUAGAAAAUCAGUAGUUUAAUUUGGUUAAAUGAAUUGGGGGCAAUUGAUCAAAUUUAAUAGUUUUAAUCAGUAGCAAGAAAUGGAACUAAAGUGAGUGCUGGGCCUACUGGAUAGUGACUGACAGAGUCCUAAAAGAUUUAAUAAAAUCUUUAACUUAACUAACUAAAAUAACACAUAAAAAAAAGGCCUAUAUUUUUACCUUCACUAUUUACCAUCUCUGUAUCCCAAUCUCUCUCUCUUUCUCUCUCUCUCUCUCUCUUAAAUCAUCACUAUGAUUAGGGUUAGCUGUUGGGAAUCAUAAGUGAUAAAAAAAAAAAAAAAGGAAAGAGAAAUAAAGGGGCUUUUCAUAUUUUGCAGUGUCCUCUCUUUUGAUUUUGCCAUAUGUGGGCAGUGAAAUAUUUACAGCAUGUCUCUUAUAUAUAAUCCCACUGUACCAAGAUGCAGUUAUUACUUCACCCAUUGUUGCAUGUGCCCUAGUACUCCCUCUCUCUCUUUUUUUUUAAAUUUUUUGUGUGUGUGAUGUGGAAGUAUCAAUAUGAAGCUUUAUCACAAGAGUACAUGGGAAUCAAGCUCUAGUACUUUUAAAAGUAUCAGUUAAUUGGUAUUUGUAGAUUUUCAGUUUUUGAAUUAAGAGAUGAGUCCUAUUGUAUUUUCGGCCUUUGAAUUAAUAAAUAUGAUAUACCGUAGAGAAUAUAUAUAUAAUUGGACUAAAAUAUUAUUAAAAUAGUAUUUGGCCUUUUUUAUUAUUAAGUUUUUAACAUUUAGAUAAAAAAUUAUAGAGUUGAGAUGAUAGUGGUCCCGUAAGUUUUACUGGUAGUCCUCCUAGGAUUGAGUAGGUGAUUGGUUGAAUAGUAUAAUCUAAAGGAUGGAAUUGAUUAAAAUGUAUAUCCAACGGCUAAAAAAUCGAUAGCAAAAAAGACCCAAAUACUAUUAAUUGUAUUUAAGCUCAACUCUCUCUCUCUCUCUCUCUCUCUCUAUAUAUAUAUAUAUGUCAAUUUCAUACAGAUUCCUAUAAAUAUAGUGAAUAGCAAUUAUAUUCCUACAAACUUCAACUUUCAUAUAUUGUCCUUCAAAAGUCCUAACGUUUUCAAAUAUAUCUCUCUGAUUUUUCACCAUUAGAGAACCAUUAGAGAAACUGUUUAUAUUUUCAAAUUUUUCAUCACAAAUAUAUAAGUUUUGAGCUUCUUUGCUUUUAAAAGUAUUAAUUCAUUGGUGCUUGUAGGUUUUCGACCAUUGGAUUAAAGAAGUGCGGUUAGAAUGAUAGUGUUUUCCUAGGGUUAAGUGGGUGGUAGGUGGAAUAGCAUAAUCGAAGGGGUGGAAUUGGUCAAAAGAAUAAAUCUAAUGGUGAGAAAUUUAUAAACACUAAGUGUUUUGUGUUUUUAAAAUCACCAUAGCUAGACUCUAUAUAUAUUCCUGUUAUGCUAUGUUUAGUAACAAAAUAUUAAAGAGAAUAAGGCCUUUUAUAUUAAUUGUCUCUUGUGCCAAACACAAAAGGUUUGACAUAAAUAGUUUAUUUUGAUUAAAACAGAUUAUUUUAAGUUAUUUAAUUAGAAUUCUUUUUCCUCCUCACCCUUGAAACAAGGGUUUUCUUUCAGUUUAUCAUUCGCCUAGUUGAUUCACAUUUUCAGGUAAGUUUAUUUUUAUAUGAAAUAAACGAAGCGGAUAGCGUACUAUCUAUCUCUCUCUCUCUCAAAAAAAAGAAACUAUACAUUAUUGUGGAAACUAGCAGAAGUAUCUGAUUGAAGCUUUUUGCAAAAGUAGUUCGUGCUAAUUUUUUUUCGAAUGUGAACCGGAUCGUAUAAGUUGAUUUUCGUGUUCUCGAGUCGUCGAUGAAGGUCUUCUAAUUCUCCAAAUUAACCUGCGGUGGACCGAACUAUAAGUGAGCUAAGCCUAUAUUCUACAAUUGCAAUAGAUUAACGAAGGAUUCUCUCUCCCUCAAGAUGGUAUACGAAUUUUUUACGAAUUUUUCUUGAUUUUUUGGUUAAUUUCUAUCCCUCUUUUACACGUCUCUCAUGAGAGAACACCCUAAUAUUUAUAAGGUUCUCAAUGCCCUAAAAUUUCAGGCCAAAUCGGUUUAUAAUUAUCAUUCUAAUAUAACGAGAAAAUAUGUCUAAUUAGCUUUUCAAAUUAAAAAUGAGAUACAAUCUAGUCUAAGUAGAUAAUAUAAUAAUCAUUGAAUCGAGCCUGAUCAUAGGCGCAUCAAAUUUGACAAAAUGCCGCAUUCACAAUUCUUAAGAAAUAAUUAAACAUUAUUUUGGUUAUAUUUGGAAAUAACCAUAUGUCGGACCAAAGACAAAAUUUCUCUUCUUCUUCUCUAUUCUAGAAUAUUGAGUUAUUUCAAAAAUAAAAAUUAUUUAUUCCUUCAUAUAUUAUAGUGUUACCAAAAACUAUCUCUUUGUCAUUGUAUAAAAUACACUACAACCAAAACGGUUUAUAGCGACACUUCUAAAUGUAGGUACAUGUCAAAAAAGUGUUGCUAGCUAAAAUUACCGAUACUUUUAAAAAGUGUUGCUAUAUGUGGGGUCGCUAGGUAUAUAGUAACAGUUAAAGAGUGUCGCUAUAACCUAAAAGAGUGCUAUUAAUUUACCAACACUUAUUUAAGCAUUUAGCAACCGUCGAAACUCUAUCUCGUUGGCUGCGGUGGCGGAGGGGGACGACAGGAAAGGCUCUUCGUCUAGAAUUUCAGUGGAUUGAGUAAAGAGAGAAGAAAAGAUGGUAAUUGAUUUUUCUUUUUUUUUCAUUUCUAUUUAUAAUCGGGCCAACUAGACUGGGUGUGGUGGGUUGAGUAGAGUAAUGUUUUAUUUUUGGUUGGAUUGGGCUUUAUAUUUAGGCAUUAGUAGAUAUUUUUUUAAGUUUUAGCAUAAAUAUGACACUUACUCAAAAGUGUUCUAAACAUGUGUUUCUAUAAUCUAAUUCUGUUGUAGUGAGAGUUAAGGUAAACCUACAAAAGUAUGCCAUACCCAAAUUAUUACAAUCUACGUAACAUAAUAUUUUUUUUAUUUCUUUCCGCUAUACUUUUUUACUAUAUGUAAGGCAUCCUUCCUACCGUCCAAAUUCAAAUGUUGGAUUAAGUGUCGUGUCAUUUGAAAGAUAACUACUACUAAAAGUUGAAGUGAAAGCAGACCAAGCAGGCAAUAAGCUAUAUAUUUAUCAAAUUCCAAGAAUGUUAGGUAUAUUUAUAUUUAAAGAAGCCCAAAAUAAACCAUUCACACAGAAGCACUCUAGCUAUGCAAAUGCUUCAAGAUCUAUAUUGCAUACCACACAACAUAUAACAUUACUUAAAAUAUACAGAUGCCACUUCCUCUCAUCCAACAACCUUUCUCACUCCAUUUUAAUUGGUAUCUUAGGUCAAUUAAAUGACCACUAUUUGAGAGGUGUAAUUUGGGACCCAUAUGUAAUAAAGGAUGCCCAAAUAACAUCAAAAUAUUGAAACAUGUCACACUUUGACCAAACAACAAACAACAUUCAAAACUAGUCCUUGGAGGAUUAAUAUUCAUCACAACUUAAGUGGUCAACAUUGCAUGAUCAAACAUAGAUUACUAACAGUUACUAAGAAAAUAAAGUUACACUCCAAAAACAGUUUACACACAUUAUGAACUAGAAUGAAAGGUACAUUUAUUAGAGCCUAUUUGAGUACAAGAACAUUUUAUUGAGUUAAUCUUUCUAAUUUACUCGAAAACAAAAAAAAUAAUUAAUGGAUAAAAAAAAUGAUUAGAUAUAAACAGUGGCAUAAUAUACACAAACCUUUAAAUUAUUCUUAUAAAAUAAAAUAAAUUAACUAGCUGAUUAUUAGGACUUGUGAAGGGCAAAACAAGAUCUCUAAGUUGCAAUUAUAGUAACAAAGAAAAAAAAAAAUUAUAAUAACACAUAAGUUAUCACCGAAUGAUUUGUUCCGACAUUCAAACAGACCUUUUAGCCCCUGGAUUGCAAAGAUGAAACUCAGUUUGGAAAUUCAAACAAGAGAACUAAGACCACAGCAUUAAUUUGCCAGAGAAUUGAAAAUUUGAAGGGUCAUCAUAAAGUAAAAGGAUAGAGGUUUGGUUUCUACAACAAAAGUUCUACCAAUUUAAAUUUAAACACCAAAAACUUCCUUUUCCUUUUUUUUUUUUUUGAACUCUCUCUCUCUCUCUCUCUCUCUCUCCUUGUUCUUGAAUCUUGAUCUUUCCUCUCCUUUAUAAAAGGUUUCUGUACAGAGUCUCCAAGCCUCAUUUGCCAUUAACUGCUGUUGGUAAAUUAAACUAAGCUAGUACUUCUAAUUGGCUCCAACACCCAGGAAAUCAAAGAAGGGCAAGCUAACUUUUUCUCCAUUUCCAACAGCUGCUUCAUCCUGCAAGGAAGAGUUGUUGCUGUAGAGAGAGGCUGAUUCAGUUGCUGAAGCCUCAGAAGCUGCUGCUGCAGCAUCAAGGUGACCAGAAUAUUCAAAAGCCACCAUGGCAGAAGCACUUCCCUGAAAGCAGUUUCUAGGGAACUCAGAACUCCCCUUUCUCACUGCAACCAGCUUUUCAUCUGGGCCUGCAACAGUCAUGGGAACUGGCUAGUAACAUCUAAUUAGAAACAAUAUUAUAGUAAUAUUAUAGAUAGUAACUAUAUAGUCAGAAAAUAAGAAGAAGAAAAAAAGAAAAAGUCAUACCAGCAAAGAAACCAAAGAGUUGUGGAUGAUGGGAGAGGUUGAAACCAUUGAAAAAGAAGCCAUGAACAGCCCCAGAAACUGCAGCAAAUGAGUCAAGGGGGAACCCAGUGCAUGUGGAACCAGAACCAGAUUCCUCUCUUGCAGCAGUGGUUGUGGACUCCCCCUUGCAUGCACAUGCACUGCUCAUCCCACUGCUCCUUUGCUCCACACCACCACCUUUGUGAGCAUUAUUAUUAUUAUUAUUAUUAAUAUUAGUAAUAUUGUUGUUGUUGUUGUUGUUGUUGUUGUUGUUGUUGUUGUUGUUGUUGAUGAUGAUCAUCUUCCUCCUCUUGCCACCAGUGGAGAGCUCCCUGUGCCUCCUGGCCAUGAUGACAUGCCAGUGGUUCUUCACAGCAUUGUCUGUUCUCCCAGGAAACAGCUUUGCAAUGAGAGCCCACUUGUUCCCAUACAGCUUGUGUGCAGUUAAAAGCCUCUCCUCCUCUGCCUCACUAAAUGCCCUCUUGUUGAUCCUUGGGUCCAGUUGAUUGAACCAUCUUAGCCUACAACUCUUCCCUAUUACAUAUAAUCAAAAACAAACAAUAUAUAUAUAUAUAUACACACUUGACUACUCAAAACACAUAUUUUCACAAGAAAGAAAAGAAAAAAACAAAAAACAAAAAAAAAAGAAAAGAAAAGGAAGGAACCUGAUCUUCCUUGUAGAUUCUCAGCAAUAAGGUUCCAAUUCUGGGGGCCAAACUGGGAAACAAGUUCUCUGAGCUUUGCAUCCUCCACAGGUCUCCAAUGGCCCCUGCAACAUAAUUUCACAUGGGUGUUCUCAGCAAAGCUCUUAUUCCCCACCUCCCCCUCNUCUCCUCCUUCUACUUCUAUUACUACUACUACUACUCCUCCUCCUUUCCACCAUUAAUGAACCCAUGAGAGAUUGGUGGCUGUGCUGGUGCUUGCGGAGUAGGAGGAGAGAAGAGGAGGAGCAUUUCCUCUGUUGUGGGGUUCUGUGGCUCAAACCCCAUCCUGUUCAUCGAAGAUCUGGGGCUCUAAUUAAUCACCAAAUUAAUGAUGAGUUCAAAUCCUUUUUUUGCUCUGUGGGUGUUCCUCAAAACUCCAAUCUAAAUCAUUUUUUGGCUACAAAAGGAGGGAUUUUGAAGCAAGGAAAAGGAGCAAAAGAGGAGAGAGAGAGAGAGAUAUAGAGAGAGAGAGAGAGAGAGAGAGAGAGAGAGAGUGGGGUUGGUGUGAGAAAACUAUACAGUGCUCUCUCUCUCUCUCUAAGUUUCUCUCUCUCUCUCUCUCUCUCUCUAUAUAUAUAUAUAUAUAGAUAUGUGUAUGUGGUGGCUUUAUACUGAGACCAAAUGGUGUGUUGGGGAAGUGUGGGCAUUGGGGUUUGCAUGGAGAAGUGUGGGUUCAAAAAAAAGGGAACCGCUCGUGUGGGUGGAGAGUAAAAACUCUCCCCCCCCUCUCUCUCUCUCUCUAACUUCUCUCUCUCUAACUUCUCUCUAUAUUCUCUCUCUUACUUGUUGUGUUUCACUCUCUACACCAGUUUUAGGCAGUGUUUGUUUCAGUAACAAGACGUGAAUAAGACUCUAUUCUUUUUUCUUUUUUUUUGUUUCAAAAUAUAAAUUUUCGUAUCAAAAACAGUAAUUUUCAUGUCUCUCUAAUAAAUUGGUAUCAGUCUGAAACGGUUGUUUCAUCAUUGUUCUUGGGGCCUUUUUUGUAAUUAGCCUUCUGAAAAAAAUUUAUUUUAAAAAUAAUUCUAGCAAGAUAGUUAAGUUAAACACGGUGAACCAUUUACCGUGUCUAAACACGGUGAAUGAUUCACCGUGUCUGAAAAAAGAGAAGGAAAAGAAAAAAUAUAUGUAUUAUAAAAAAGAUAAAUAUGAAACACACCGUGUUUGAAUAGGGUGAAUGGUUUAUCAUGUUCAACUUAACACCCCAACCCAUCCACCUGACGCUGAUGUGGCAUCUGCGUGGUAAGAUCAUGGCCAUUUUUGCAAAUUUAAAUUUGCUAGGGCUAUUUUUAAAAUAAUUUUUUUCAGGGGGCUAAUUGCAAAAAAAACCCUUUUUCUUGAAACAAGAUUGUUCCUAAAUAGGAACAAGGUUUAAUUAAAAUUAAAAUUUAAUUUUAAUUAUGGUAUUAAAUUAUUAGUUAAUCUAAUUAAAAUAUUUAUAUUAUUAUUAUUCAUUGCUUAAAAAAUAAAAUAAUUAAUUAAUUUAUUAUUUAUAAUUAAUUAGCUAAUUAAUUAUUGAUAAUUUAAUAUGUUUAUUUACAGACUAAUAUUUAUAUUGAUUAAUCAUUAAUAUUUUUAUUAAUCUAACUAAUUUUUUUACUAGCUAUCCAACUAAAAUAAUUUACUAACUAAUUAAAAAGUUAAAUUAUUUACUUAAUAUUUAAUUAAUUAAUUAAUUAAUAUAUUUUUAUUAUCUUUAAUGUUUAUUCAGCUAUAUAAUUUAUUAAUUUAUUAAAUUAUUUUUAAUUAAUAUUUUGAUGUUAAUUAAUUAGAUAAAUUUUUUAAUUUAACAUUUAUACUCUAAUUUCUCUUGUUUUCCUAAUUCUAAGUAUUCUGUUCGUUUCAUACGUAAUAUCUCCUUUUUAAUAAUUUAAAAAAUAUUUACUAUAUAUGUAUUUCUUGAAGUAAAAUGACUGAUAUUUAUCUGAAUUAUGGAUCAUUUUAUGAUUGACCAUCUAACUUUUCAAUUUGUAUGCUUUGAAUCAGUCAAUGAUAGUUUGACUUCAAAAUUUAAACUAAUUACUUACUUUAAUAAUAAAUUUAUAGUUGCGCAAUUGUAUAAAGUAUGCUAACUAAAUUUAUACAGAUAAAAUAAAAUCAAAAUUUUGAAAGAUGGGAUAACCAACUCAGAAAGGAUAUAGUUCAAUUAAGUUAUGUACGUUUUACUUUAAUCCUCAAAUAUUUAAAGUUCGAUAUUUUAGAUUCUGAAUGUUUUAUUUCGAUUCUUAAAUUUUUAAUUUUGUUUGAGUCUCUAACCUUUAAAGGAGUUUCAUUUUAGUCCUUAUUUAUUACUAGGAAGUAAAUCAGUGCUAUUUUUUUAUUUUUACAAGUUAAAUCAUUGUAUUGAAAUUAUCAGAUUAGUACGUGAAGAAACAAUGAAUUUUUAGUUUAUAUACGUAAAGAUGAAUUAGAUAUUAAACUACAACUUUUAAUCUAAAAUUAUAGCAAACAAAAAAGAAGUUGUAUUAAAAAGUUAGAGAUUGAAAUAAAAUUUCGAUGUCAAAUUCAAAAUUUGGCUUUCUACAAUUUUGAAAACCGAAAUGAAACAUGAGUUGAAAUUAUGGAAUAAUAGGAAUGAUUUGGAAUUAUAUUAGACUUUUAAUUUCCUCAAGUACUUAUUAGUUCUUAGGAUCGGUUAAAAUUAAUUUUUUUAUACAAAAUAACCAUUGUAUCCUUAGAUAUAAUUUUAAUUAUAUGUAAAAUUAUUUAUUAAUUCUUCGAUGUCAUUUUACAUGAAUGAUAACUACAAAUCUUAAGAAAUUUAAAAAAUGUUUUUUUUUUUUUUAAAUGGGCAUGACGAUUCAAAAAAUAAAAAUUUAACACUCACUUAGUACAGCCAAUGUGUAGAGAAAUAUCUACAUAUUUUAAAGCUUUAUUAUAAAAAAUAGAAAAUAUCUAAUAACUAAAACAUGUAGAAACAAUGUGUAAUUGUAAAACUUUAUGGGGAUACGUAUGAAAAUUGUUACUAGCUCCAUACGGUGCAAUACCUACGGUACAUUCCCCGUUCUCGAAGCCACGUGGCACCAUCAGGAGAGUUCGCGGACACGUCCACGUGUUUUUACGUGGCUAUCGUACGGACGGGCGCAUAAACUUAGGCUUACGUAAGCAAGUAACGGAAAAAAUAAAUAAAUAAAGUGGGGGCCACCUGUCGGAGUUAUAUGUGUCGGUUUACGUACACACGUUCCACGACUCCUAACGUAACUGCACAAAACGUGGAAUUUGUGAUGCGAGGGGACUAAAAAAUAAAUAAAUAAAUAAAAGAGGACAGUGUUGUAAAUUUCCCUAGAAUUUGACAUAUAUUAUUAGUGUCUAAAUUUAAUUCGCAAAAAAAUAAAAAAAACUAUGAAUACGGAUAUAAAUUUUCUUUUUAAAAAAAUCUAAUUGUAUUUGAUAAUUUUCACUAAAUUUAAGAGAUAAUUAGAGGGAUGUAAAUAGGGAAAACUUCAAAAAACCUCCCUGUGGUUUCGCACUUUCUCACUUUAGUACCUUGUGAUUUAAAAGGUAUCAAUUUGCCUCCCUGUGGCUUUGUUUUUAUCUUUUUCACAGUUUUUUCCUUAAUAUUUUAUUAAAUUAUAUACAAAAAAACUUUAGAUACACACCUAGAUUUAUCGAAUAUUUACUUUAGUAUUCUUUAAUUUUAACUUUGUCACUGAUUUAAAAAAAAUAAUAAUAAAAUUGAUACUAAAAAGAGAAAAACGAAACCACAGAAGGACAAAUUAAUAUAUUUUAAACCACACAGUACUAAAGUGAGAAAGUGCGAAACGACAGGGGAUUUUUUGAAGUUUUUCCAUGUAAAUAUAUAUCACGGAAGGUAAAUUAGUUUUCUAUCGUGUCUUUUGUUUAUUUUUUUAUUAUAAAUUUUAUGUUAAAUUUGUGUUUGUAUUUAUUAAAAUAUUAAAUUCUAUUUAGUAAGCUGUGGGAAUGUAGAGCUUGAAUAUGAAUGUAAACGUUUAUUUGCAUUGUAUAUCUAAAUUACACUAAUUAAUUUUAGUUUAUAUUUGUAUAUGUAUAUUAGUAUACAUUAUUAUCAUGACUACAAAUUUGAUUCAUAUCUGAAUUUGAGUUUAUUUCAGAUAGAUCUGAUAAUAAAAAUUUAGUAUUUGAUAAGUAUCCGUAUCCGAAUUCACAUCUGAAGAAAAAAAAAAAAAUGAAAGCGAAAAUAAUUUUGUAAAAAGUUCAACCCCUAAAAUUGUGUAGAGACUCCCUCAACAAUAAACAUUUUUGAAAUGUGCCACUUAUUUGCACUUCGACUCUUCAAUUUUUUAGAUUUGAUAAUUUUAUCAAAUACAAUAAUUUUGAUCAUUUUUAACAAAUACAGUUAGAAUAAUUAAUUAAUAAUAGCAAAUAAGGCUAUUAAAUUUGAGAAAGUUUUUAACUAAAGUAACUAAAAUAGCUUAAUUAGAAAAAAAAAAAGAAGAAAAGCUAAAGAGGUGUAAAUCAAAAAAGUUCUAAGUUUAACAGUGAUUGGGACCAUUGUAAUUAUCAAUUAUGUAUUUUAUUAAAUUUAUAGAUAAUAUUGUCAAAUUUAAUUAAUUUUUUUAAUUUUUUUUAGUACAUAGAGUUAGAGUAAUUAUUGGUUAUAAAUAGCUAAUAGAACUAUUAAACAUAUCAAAAAAAUUUUAACUAAAAUAACUUUAAAAACUAAAUUUAAAAAAUAAAACUUAAUGGGUCUCAAUAAUGAAAGUGACCUUAAUACCAUUCACAAAACCUAACAUUAAAAAUUAAAAUUUGUAAAGAUUUAUUUCGUUAGUAAUUGAAUAUUGUCCUUUUCUACACUGUUAAUUUUGGAUGACUCACUAACAUAUUUCUAAAAUUUAAAAUUUUUAUCUAUAAUCUAAUUAGAUAUUGCAUUUAACAAGAACCAAAUUAAAACUUUAAUUUUAAAGUAUUAAUAAGUAAAUAUUAAAUAGGUAAAACUAUUUUGAUUCAACCGUACGUCCAACAUUAAAAAAUUUAGAUUUUGAUACCCAAAUUUUAAUUUAUUUUAUUUAAAUUAUUUGAUGAUUCUUUUGGUAUAAAAUUUAGGCUUAUUGUUUAAUUUAAUGAAUUUACAUCUGAAUGAAUUAUAGCAUACUAAUCAGGCUUAUAAACGUAAACGAUACACUCAAAUUUUAAAAUGUAUGCGCCAAUAAAUGGUUCAAAUUAAAUGGGUUAAAAAGCUAGUAAGUAAAAUAAAAAAAAAUUAAGAUUAGAUAAUUGAUUCAAAUAAAUUUUAUAUAUUUAUAUUAAAUGUAACAUAUCAUAUACAUAGAUACACCAAAUAGGGGAGAUAAUAAUUAAUUUCUCAAUUAACAAAAGCAGCCUUUUUUGACAUGGGACUAGGAGCAACUUCAUCUUUUAUUAACCUAAGUUGUAUUAUUCAGAGUCCGGCUAUUAUACUUUUAUGAGUAUAGAGCCUCUUGUACUCAUAAGUUUUUGCCCGCUAGAUUUACCCUUUAAUCAUUUUCACCCGUUAUAUUAUACUAUUCAACCAACCACCCACUCAACCCUAGGGGGCCCACUAUCAACCUAAUCGUAACCAUUUUUAUCAUAACCGCAUAUUUUUUCAUCUGAACGGCUGAAAAUUUAUGAGUACAAAGGGCUGUAUACUCAUAUAAGUAUAGUAGCCCCAGCCGUAUUAUUCAUGCUUCAUUAUUCCACAUAUAAACAAUCACUAACUUUAUUUGGAUAUGCUUAGAAGGUGAAAUUAUUGAGUGGAUUUGUUUUACCAUGUUCUAUGGACCUAGAAGAGUUAAAAAUAUAAUACCUAUGGUUAAAAAGCAGAUCUUAAUUUUAUUUUUAUUCUUCGGGCAGUUUGUAGAAAUAUUUUCAUAACUAGCUUUGCUAGCUCCGCUGUCUUACUUACGUGGGUUGUUUGUAAGUUAUGAAGUCGUGCUUCAAACUCGUGACCUCUUGCAACGAAAACCAUGCCGGUAUGGAUUGCACAGAUCACGUUUCUCGUUGGUCUCGCUAGCUGGAUCUAAGGCGCGAGAUGUUUCAUGCGAUAACUUGCGUGUAGAUUGAACUCACGACGUCAUUCUCCCCAGAGUAAUGUCGUGUGAAUUUUGGAUUACUUGGUGGCAUAAGUUCAUUAUUGCGAAACAGAUCCUUAGCUAGACUCAAACCGAGGUGGUUCUAAAAGAGGAAGGAUUUUAUAUUCUAACUUAAACAUUAAAUGCAUAUGUUACAGUUUGAUUGGUUGGUUUAGUACACUAGAUUUGCGCAAAAUUAAUUAAACUCUCCUUUAAAGAAGCAUCAAUUUAAAGAACAAGACCACUAGUCUAAAAAACACAUUCAACUAUGGAUUGUGGUGUACAACACAUGUAGCAUUGCUCUCUCUCUCUCUCUCUCUCUCUCUCUCUCUCUCUCUCAAACAAACAAUGAAACAAAUUUAGGACCCACACAAAUCUUUUUAGAUGUCCUAUUGAUCUCAGUUUACAAAAGAAAAAGAUUCUCUGUUUGUUGCUUGUACUAUUUUCUAUUUUUCCAUAUUACUGUAUAUGUACUUUGUACACCAAACUUACAUGUCAAUGCUACUCUUCGGAUCAGCUUUAAAAAAAAAAAAAACAAAAAACAAAAAACAAAAAAGCAGGGAAUAUGAUUAAGUGGUGGCCACAUCACAUGAUGGGUUAUGUUGGGUUAAUUAAAAUAAUUGAUAACCACUAUACAUAUACACCAAUGUAUUUCUCCAUGUGUUUGUCAUGUUGAACUUUAACUUGAAAGGUAUGCAUGAUGAUGAGGUACACGACUUAUUUGAUGAAUUGAAUGAUUUGAUUAAAGGGCAAAGUUCAAGUAACCCUUAAAUAGCUUUUCAUUUUAGUUAUUGCGCUUAAAUACGCUACGGUUACGAUUCUUGUUCUCCGUUAAAAGAUCAAUCCUUUGUUACGUACUGAGCACAAAAAAUACAACUCUCAUUUCGCGAAGCAAAAAAGAGAUCUAAGAAUACAUAAUAAGUUCAAUGAAAUUAUGCCCACUCUGAGAACCAGUUUAGCUAAGAAUGCGGAUAAUGGGAAUUAGAUUGUACAUAAUUCGGCGCAAAUCACGGAACAUGGUCGUUCAGUUUCAUACACAAUCCGCAUAACCAAUCGCUUUUUAUACAAUACUACUCUUAUAUACUCAAGGGUAUCAUUAAUCAAUUAAUAUUAUCGAAACUAUUUUUGAUAUUAUCAAAUAAAAAAGUUUAAAUCAUGGAUAGAUUUUAAACAAUUGGGAACCGUGUUUAUCGGCAAAAACGAUCUCGAACCCAUACAUUAAUCCAUUUUUCAAGAUUAUUGGCAUAAAUCUCGUGACAGGUUCAUAAAUCGCACAAAUAAUAUUAUUUCUUUAACCGCGCAUGAUUAUACGUGGAAAAAUUCUUUUAAGAAAAAAAUCCAAAAAUGAGCUAAAUUGGCUCACAAAAAUAUUGGCAUAUACCUCGAGAUAAUAAAAGGGAGCCCGCAUGUGCAUGCGAAACCCCCUUGAUCUAGGGCUGUCAGUGAACCAAAUACGAGCGAGCUACGAUCGGCUCGUGUUCGCUCAUUUAUUAACGAGCCGAAUACGAACUGACUCGUUAAAAUAUCGAGCUGAAAAAUCAAGCUCUUGUUUAGUUUGUUUAUUAGCAGUUUGAACGCAAGCUGAUUCGCGAACAGUAAAUUAGAUUGUCAGCUUUACUAUUGGAUGAAAAGUUGAAAGAAAAUUAAAAAAUUAGAAUCUUAAUAUAAUAAUUAAAAUUCACAAAACAUUUCUCUUUUGUCUUUGGGCUAAUCUAAAAUCGUACUAUAUAUUCAAGCUAUAUCGAGUCGAACACAAGCAACACCUGACUCCGUUUUAUGUUCAGCCUAUUUAUUAAAUGAGCAAUCUAUUUCGAACACAUUUUAGAUCGAACACGAUAUGAUUCGCGAACGGUACUAAUCCUUCAUUUAAAAACUAACUUUGGCAAUAUGAUUGCCAUGUUGGAAACGAACCAUUGCUCAUUUUCAAUUACGUGGAGCAUUUAAGCAACACUCAUUUUAAAGCAUUGUGGAUGAUAACAUAACAUCCCAUCCAAAUCGUUAGAGGACGCGGAGAUGGACUUUUGAAGCACGAACAUAAUGUUGUCGCAUCAUACAUUAUAUAUUGUUUUCAUUAUAAUUAAUAAUAUUAAUUUACCUUUUUUUUUUUUUAUUUCCCUUGUAUACAAAUAUAUAAGGAAUAAUAUCUAAUACAUCAUUCAAAAUUUUUAAAUUAUUUUAUAUUUUAUAUAUUUUUUUUGUUUCAAAUAUAUAUAUCGUAUAUCUUUCGGUUAUUCAAAAGUAAUCUCAUUGUUAGUAUCUAUUAAAUUAUCUUAGGUUAAAUUUAAAUUAAAUUUUUAGCAGAGUUAAAAGAAGACAAAUAAGAAAAGAGAAGGAUAUAUUUGAAAAGAUAAAAAGUCAAAAAUAUUUUUUUAUUCCUAAUUUAAGAGCAAAAAAGAAAAGUUGAUAACGCGUACAUUUGAAAAGGCAAAAUAAUAAUUUUACAAAUAAUGAUUGUUUCUAUCACUAACAAAAUUUAACUCUAAAAAUAUAUUUGAAAUAACUUGGAAAGUUAAAAAAAUAAUUUUAAUAUUAGCCUUCUAAAGAGAUAAAUAAAAAAGUCGAAAAUUUUUUAAGAAUAUAUACGCAAUUGCCCCUACAAAUAAGUAUCUCCAACACAUACAAAAAAAAAGAAAAAAAGAAAAAAGAAAAAUCAUACCUGUGAGUUAACUAUAUAAUUAAUACGAUAUCAUCAAAAAAUAGGCAAAAUUUAUCUACAUAUACUUUUUACUUUAAUUUUUUAAAAUAGCUCUUAAUUAAUAUAUCUCAAACAGUUUUUUUUUUUUUUUAGCGGCUUAUUAUUGGAGUGUUAUAUAUCUAUACUAUAUGAAUACUAGAUGGAAUAAAAAAAUAUUUUAUAUAUUUUCUAAAAAUAAUUAAAAAUUAAGACAAAAUAAAUUAAAUUUAAAAAAAUAAACUUAUGCCACUAAUAAUUAUUAAAAUUUAAAAUAUAAAUUUUAAUACUAUUUUAUUGAAAAUAUAAAUAUUUAAAUUUAAAUUAAGUAAUAAAUAUGACUUGCAUUAUAUGUGCACUACAUCUAGCAUAUAAAAAAGGGUAAACUUCAAAUACCACCCAUUUAGUUUCACACUUUCUCAUUUUUAGUACCCCGUGGUUUAAAGUGUAUCAAGUUAGUGUCCUGUGGUUUUAUUUUUAUCUUUUCGUCAGCUUCUUCGUUAAUAUUUUGUUAAAUUAUAUACAAAAACUUCAGAUACUCUACCUAGAUUUAUUGAAUAUACACUUUAGUACUCUUUAGUGUUAACUUUAUCACUGAUUUAAUGAAAAAUUAAAAUUAGUGGAAUCGAUAAUAAAAAGAUAAAAAUGAAAUUAUAUGGCACUAAAUUGAUAUAAUUUAAACCACAUGGUACUAAAGUGAGAAAGUGUGAAACCACCGGUGGUAUUUGAAGUUUUUCCUAUAAAAAAAAAAAAUUGAGAGAUCAAAUCGUAACGGUACAACAGUGUUACUGUACAAAUUAAUAAUGUUAUAAAAAGUUGGCACGUGUGCAUUGUGUACAAUGAAUCUACAUGUCUUUAGAAUGUUUUUAAGAGACAAAGGGAAUCAAACAAUGUGACAACACUUCUCACAUUGACCCAUUAAUUUUCCUUUGGGUUGGUUUCGCACUAUAUCUACUCUUUUUUUUUAAUUUUUUUUUUUUUACUAUAAAUACUGAAAUAAAAAAUAAAAAUUUAAUCGGUGCUUAAAGUAAAUUGAUUCGAUUACUUUAAUAAAAAAAACAAUAAUUCUAUCACUUGUAUCAAAUGAAGCACAUAUUGUUUGUUUUGAUCAAACUUUCUUUUGAAAUUUUUGUUGACUAUAUAAUUAGUAAUUUUGGAUUAAGAAAGAAGCUUAAGGAUCUGUUUGGUUCCUCAAAAGAAUAAAGAAAAAAAUUUUCGCGAAUUUUUUUUAUGGAAAACUUUUCAUUUGAUUCUACGAAAAAUUAGUCUUUUUAAUCUCUCUUUUGAAUUUUAUGAAACACUAGAGUUUUCGUUUUCUGAGUUUAUUUUUUUGAAAAAUAAACAUACUAAUUUUCUAUAAGAGUUGGCAAAAAGUUUUCCGAAAAAAUUAGCUUUUUAAAAAAAAAAAAAAAACCAAACUAGCAGAAAACUAAACAAAAACUUUUCCAUGAGAAACUCUUUUUUUUGGAAAUAUUUUUUUCACAUAUUUUUGUGGAACCAAACAACCAGCCAUUUAUUUAACAAAAUUUAGAAGGUCUAACUAAUCAAAUUAAGAGUCUAACCUAAAAUUAUCAGGCGCUUUCGGUUAACAAAUUAGUUCUGACACCAAAUAUAGUGAUUCAGCAUUCUAACAUUAAUAACGCGUCGUAACCAAACCCUCGAGAUCCUUAAUUAUAUACUAAAUCAUAAUUUCCUUCCCAUGCAGGUGUAGUACAAGUUCAAGGAAUCAUUAAUUACAUGCAUACAUAUAUUUUAGUUAUUUUAGUUCUUUGGUUUUUUAAUAAAUUUCUAUGGAACUUAGUGUAAAUAAAUAAAUUUGUCACAUAAUACUAAGCACAAGCUCCAAUCUCCGACAAUUACAUUUCCAAGAAUCCUAACAUCCGUACCCUCCACUAAUUGCUAUAUAUAUAUAUUGACAAAUUAAGCAUCAAACACCAAACUUUUUAAAUUCUAGGUACAAAUUUUAAGAUUAAAAUAUCAAAUGGAAAAAAGAAAUCGUACGUUCAAAUUCGGUACAAGAGAACUAAGAAAUUGAAAAACAAACAAAACGGACCUAAUUUCCACAUUACGAGGUCAACAGAUAUAUGCAAAAAUAGUAUCAUAGGAUAAUAUUCCAAGGAUUAAGACAUAUAUGUAUAUUUUUUAUUAUAUUCUCCACAGUUUGAGUCAAUUUGAUUUUGGGACCAGUUGUGGAAUUUCUAAUGUGUUUAGAAGAGCAUCGAAAUUAUGACUAAAUAUAUAAUGUGGAAGGAUAUUUCUAUCUACUUAUAUAACUUUUUAGAUUAGUUCGCGCCAUUUAACAACUCUGUCUCUAAUAAAAAUAUCGAUCUAUGUCAAUAAAGGCACUCUUUUAAAUGUUGAGGAAUAUAUUUAACAUGUUAUAUUUUGAUAUCCACGCUCUAAGUACUCUUUGGAAACAGAAAAAGCUUUGAUUAGCGCUCUUGUGGUAUAGUUUGGAAAAUGUUGUUGUUGUUGUUUUAUAAUUUUAUUUUUAUUUUACUUAGGAAUUUGCCAUAUGAUUAGGCUGGGUAGCAAAAUGAUUUUUGCUUUCCAAAAUUUUGAUUUAUAUAUAAAAAAUUAUAUCAUACUGCUGUCCUAUUUAAAACUAAAAAUAUAGAGUAGUAAACUAAUAUCUUUUAAACUACUGAGUAGUAAAGAAAAAGUAUGUAUUUAUAGGAGCUAAUUAAUUGAAGUUUACUUUUUUUUUGUUUUUUGAUAAAAUGUGUACAAAUUAAUUUGAAGAUGCACUCUUUCUAAUAGGGUUAAUUACUACUUUAACACCAUCUAGGACAAUGUAAAUAUAUAGAGAAUUAAUUAAUGGUGUUAGGCAUUUACUAGUCUUGUACAUCUUGUACAGGUGCCUCCCUAGCAAAGCAAUAAAUGGGCUCCUAGAUGAUGCAAACAAUAUUUGAAUGGUACUCCAAAUUAACCAUUUGGUAAUUAAGCUUUUUAUUUAUUUUAAUUAAGUAGAUAAACUAUAUAUGGCCUUGUGUUUAUGUAAUUGCAUAUGAGUAUAAGACCUAUCAACAAGUAGGAGAUCUAUAGAAAAACAGUUGUUUCGCAUUAUUUAUAACGCGUAUUCUGUUGCUUUCUAGGGUUUUAAACCAGAGUUAAUCCUAGUUUAGUGUGGUCAAAAUUCACCUCGUUAAUACCAUAUUAGAUUAAGCUUAUAACCAUGCUAUUAGAAUUGGGUAACAGUAACGAUGCGUUGAUUUGAGCAUCGCUCGACAAAAAUAUUUAAGAAAGGAGAGAGAUCUACAUAGGUUAACGCUAACGAGACAUUGAUUUUUAAGAAGAGAGAGAGAGAUUAUUGAAUAAAAAGUUUCUUAAUCGAUCUCAUCUACAUUUUAGAGAUGCAGUACGAAUGUACUACAAAAGAGUGAAAAAUAUUUUGUCUUCUUAUAAAAAUGUGGGACUUUAAAUAUUUACUGUAGCUGAUGCAGCAUUUUUAGUUGAUGCAUGAACUAGAUCUCUCACUUUGUUUAAUUUAUUGCUUCUAUUUUUUAGGCCUUUUUUUUUUUGCGCUCUCCUUCUCCCAUGCAUGUUCUCUAGUACAAACCUGUGAUUUAAUUUUUAAGGCUCUCAAAAAAAAUAAUUGGUACUUUAUUUUAUUACUGUUAGUGAUGAAUUUGUGUUUAGUUGAUUAACAAGCAAUUAAACUAGCUAGGUCAUUAUCUACUUUAGGGUAAAUUACGCUUUUCGUCCUCGAACUAUGAGUCUCGUCACACUUUGGUUUUCUGACAAUUUAUGGCUUAAAUUUUUAGGAUUAUUACAAUUCAAUAUAUGCAAACAGGGCGAACUCGGGACGGACUAAUUUUUAUUCUAUUUUGGAACAGAUCGGGCGCAGGGAGCAAGUUUUUGGUGGAUUUGGGCGGAUCAAAGACAAAAAAGGGUUUUCCGCCUUUCGCUCUGAUUUCUCGGCAUAUGGGGGCCGAUUUAUGGCAGAUUAUAUUUUUUUUUAUAUUUUUGGUUUCCAUUUAAUGUUCCAUCCGGGACUGAUCGGGACAGGAGCCCAACCAACGCGAAUCCAUUUGCAUCCUUGAGUCUACGGGUGCGCAAUCCAGCUCGCUGUUCGCGAGCCAGCUCGUGUUCAACUCGAAAUGAGCUCGAGAUCAGCUCGCUCGUUUAGUAAACGAGCUGAAUACGAGCUGGAUUUUUCACUCGUUUAAUAAACGGAGCCAACACUUGAGCUGAAGGUGUCAGCUCGCUCGUGUUCGGCUCGAUAACAGCUCGAUUAUAUUUAUUUUAUAUUAAUAUAAUUUUAUAUAUUAUAUAUUAUAUAUAUAAUUAUAUUUGUAUUAUAAAUAUAUAUAUAAUACAGAUUAUUAAUUUUAAAUUUUUAGUCUAAUUUUUUUUAAAAAUUUAGCUUAUUUAUAAAAAAGGCCCAUAGCUCCAUUUAUAUAUAGAAUUUUUUAUUUCCAUUCAUGACCCAUAGAUCCAUAAAUAAGUACCAAUAUUUUUUUUUUAAGUCCCAACCCUAAUUAGUAUUUUUUCCAUCUUUUUCACACUGCCCCACACAGCCGCACACACAGGUGACACAACCACACACACAUGACACACCCAACUCUCUCUCUUUCUCUCUCUCAGGCUCGCACAAGCACCGCACACGGCCGCCUCCCUUUUUCUCUAUCUCAAGCUCGAAGAUCACGGCGAGGCACGCGCGGUCGGGGAAGAUCUCCAUCUCGAUCUCGCGGAUCAGCUUCAGGACCUCGGAGCGGUGCGCGUCCUCGGCGGGGUCGGGGGCUGAGGUCGAGCGCCAGCAGUGGCGUCGCGCGAGGUCGACGAGGUCGCGUACGUCCUCGGGCCACGGCGAGCUCGGCGGCUGGGAGGAUGUCGAGGAGCGAAGAAUCGCUGUCGAGGGUGUGCCCACGAGCUCGAGCUAACGAGCCGAACACGAGCCGGCUCGAUUUUUAAUCUAACACUCUGAGUUCAUCCCGACAUUUGCUCGGCUCGAGCUCGCUCGACCUCGGUCGAGCUCGAGCCGAGCAGUAGAAGUUCCAGCCGAGAACAAGCCGAGCUCAAGCACUGCUCGAGCUUUUGAAACCGAGCACUAGCUGUGCUUUGAANCGAGCUGGCUCCAGCUCGCUCGAGCUCGGCUCGUUUACAGCCCUACUUGAGUCUCACAAUCUAAUUUAUUUGACUAAAUCUUGAUAAAUUAUUAAUAUAAAAGUGAUGCUGAAAUAUUAUAAUUGAUAAUACCAUAAUAAUUAAGAUGCUAAUCACUCUUACAUAAAUAAUUUAUAAAUAUUUAGCAAACUAAAUUAAAUUAUAAGACUUGAAUGUAAAAAUUUAAAAAAUUUAAACUAAAAUAUAUUAUAAAUUAAACUUUGAAAAUCAAAAUACCACAUGUUUCAACCAAAGUUGUAAUUUACCCUUAACUCGGUUAAAGAAUCCGUACGUGGGACACGACAAUUGCAUUUCCAAGAACUUCUCCGUACACUAUUUUGCUAAAAAAAAAAAAAAAAAUCUGUACCAUACAAAUGCACAAACUAAAAAGUAGAAUACGAUCGACGAAGCAUAUGAUAUUUGGUAACUGAUAAUUAAUCAUAUAUGUAGUACAUUUUGUAAAACUAAUUAAAGAGGGAAAAAGUAACUUCGAUUUACAUUUUGUAAUUAAGCGCGUAUUUACUUGGUUACUCUCUGAUUUAAAAAAUUAUACUAUGUAAUCUACUACAGGAUAACGGCGACUAUUCCUUUUGAUCCAUAUCGAAUUAGAUUAAGAUCCAAAUGCAAGCUUUAGUAUUCACUGUGUAUUCUAAAUCAUCAUGGAGAGUUCUUUGAUUAGUCCAGAUCCACGUUAGCUUAAUAAUGUGACAUAUUUUUUGAGCGGUCCCUAACUAACACCUUCAGGUUCAUCAUUGAUAAAUUACAAAGUAGAUUAGCUGGAUGCGAGGCGUCUCACUCUUAUACAAUCGGUGCUCCUAGCGGUACCUAGAUACUCCAUUUGUUUUAUUCUACUUCCUGCAAAAUUUCUUCACCAGAUGGAUAAAAUUAUUCGAGAUUUCUGGUGGGGCUUCAAGCCAGGAGGUCGCCACUAUUACCCAAAGGCGUGGACAAAACUAACUACAAAUAGAGAAAUAGGGGGGAUUGGUAUACCAUCUGUAACGACCCAGCCCACUAGCAACAAUAACUCGUUGGGCCCAAACCAACAGCCCAAAAUGCUUAAGCCCAGUUAUUAUUACUAGUGUCUAAGUCUCUUAGUCACAUACUCCCCCCGUUAAGGUCCUGACGUCCUCGUCAGUCCAAACACACACACAGCCCAAGAUCACCAGGCGAUGUGAGACUCGUCUCGCUAGCCCGUCAUCCAGACCCUGGCUCAGCUGAGACUCGCCACACAUGUCCAGCUGGUGAGCCGGCUCUGAUACCAAAUGUAACGACCCAGCCCACUAGCAACAUUAACUCGUUGGGCCCAAACCAACAGUCCAAAAUGCUUAAGCCCAGUUAUUAUUACUAGUGUCUAAGUCUCUUAUAAACCCAAUGACAACUCCAUUUCCAUCCGAUGUGGGAUUAUUGGGGUGUCACACCAUCGCUGUCAACACUUAAUCGAGCCCUAGUAUGCAAAUUGGUGUGGUCGCUCCUCACUAGGCCAACAUCCUUAUGGGCACAAGUUUUGGCGAACAAGUACAACCGGGCUAACAAUCUCAAUUUCUGGUCAGCUCAGAGCAGAUCUGUAGUUUCACCUAUUUGCGCUCUAUGUUACAAAUCUGUAAUUUCAUGGCAAAUGCUGUGAUCCAAAAUUCUGAACGGCUACAAUGGAAAUUCUCCGAAUCUGGCCGCUUCAGCCUGCGAUCCGCUAUCAAUUAUUUAAACGAUAGUAUGGAUCAGAGCCAAUUGCAUCAGCCACAUGAAAACCAGCAUACAAUUAGGGAAAAGUUUGAGGCAUAAAGAAUGUGAUGCCCAGAGCUAAAGUAUUUUUCUGGAGACUAGUAACAGACACGUUACCAGUUGGAGCCGCACUAGCCUCGAGACUACCUAACUUUAAUGGAUUUUGCCUGCUUUGUCUACAAGAGCCUGAGACGUUGGUACAUUUAUUCUUUAAUUGUGAGCAAAUACGAUGUGCCUGGUUCGCAUCCAGUAUAGGCCUUAUAGUUGAUAAUGCGGAUAGACCUCUGUCCUUUUGGAUUUUCUUUAUCCUAACUAAUAAAGCCAUGACGACCCAUAGGGCUUUCUGUGUUCAUCUGUUAUGGAGCUUAUGGAAAUGAAGGAAUGAGAUGAUUUUUGAAGGAAAAAUUUUCAUUAUUUCUACCAUCAUUUCACGGGCUCGUAGCUGGACGACCUUAUAUUCUAAAGAGAACAUGAUAAGGAUUAGCAUUCGGGACCCAACUCUGAUUCAAGAACCUGCGACAUUUUCCUUACAUGUAUGGGUAGAUGGGAGUUGGAAAGGUGGCACUACAGGUGGAGUAGGAUGCCUGAUCGCCAAUCAGCAUGGAAUCAUUAUGUGCAUAUCCGAUGUACUAAAGGAUGUCCAUGACGCUUGCUCUGCAGAAAUUGGAGCAAUUUUUCGAGCGACAAAUCUUUUGUUGCAAAAGUAUCCGGGAGAAACUUUUCAUAUCUACUCAGAUUCAGUGCCCAUCAUUAAAGCCUUGCACCUUAGAAGCUAUCAUUCAGAUUCGCUAACAGUUGAAGCUCGAACAAGAAUCACGGAUAUUCGGACUUUUCUUGAAAGUUCCAAUCGAUUUAGCUAUGGAUGGUCUUCACGAUUCUCUAAAAAUGUUGUAGUUGCAGAUCGAUUGGCCAACUGAGGGGUCACUAGCAACAAACUAUCUUUUUGGUCCUCGGUAGAUGAAUUCUCUCAAGUUGUACCUCCCGUUUGAUAAAUAAAUUCGCCUUCGGGCGUGUUUUCCCUCAAAAAAAAAGUAAUAAUGCAACAUAUCUAAUAAAAUUUAUUUAAUCUAAAAAUUUAAUUAAAGUAUAUUUGGUUGGAUCCACUAAUAUAUAUCAACUUUUACUUUGGACCUGCUAAUGUUAGGAUUUCUUUUUAAAAAAAUAUAUAGAUAAUUAGGUCCCAAGUAAUAAUAUAUAAUUCCAACUUAAUUUUCUAUUUUGUCUCUUGUUUCAUGCUAGGUACUUGAAAAAAAAGAAAAGAAAAAAAAGAUGGAAAUAUCAGGUAUCUUAUUCAUCCGUACUAAAAUAAGUUGGUGUAUCGUGCAUGUAAAUAUGAAUAGCUUUGUGUAGUUACACACACAAGCGAGAACAUCAAAUUUGAAUAAAUAAAUUGUGUGGUUGUUUUAAUCAUCUCACAAUGGGCUUUUGUUUUUUAAAUAAAAAUAAAAAAUAUAUAAAAUUUAUCUGAACUAUGGACUAUUUUGAGUUGAUUGCUCAAUCUUUUAAAAUUUUGAUUUUACCUCCCGACCUUUUAAUUUGUUUGAUUUGAAUUGGCCAACAACACUUCAAAAUUUAAAUGCAUCAUUUAUUCUUGAAGUUUUAAUUUGUACACUUUAUACAAUUCUUAUAACUAUAAAUUUAUUAAAUAAUUAAAUUAAUUUUCUUGAAGUAAAAUAUUAUUGACCGACUCAAAUUAAAUAAAACUAAAAGAUUAAAUAAUAAAAUAAAAAAUUUUAAAAAAUUGAAUAGCAGUUUUAAAAUAAACUAUUAGCGCCGUACAUCUUUACAUUUUUUAUGAACGGUAGAGUUAGGGUUGUAAUGUGGGCCGUGCUGGACCGGCACGGCCCACAUUUUUCCUGUUUAUUCAGGCCGUGCCGUGCCAUGCCGGGCCGGAGCUACCAACUCUCUGGCCCAGCACGGCCCUUCAGCCCAGAAGGUCCGGGCGCUACUCCGGGCCGGCCUUUAAAGAAUUUUAUUUUUUUAAUUUUUUAAAAAUAUAUAAAAUUUAAAAAUAAACAAAUAAUUUUUUUAUUUAAAAAUUUAAAAUUUAUAAAAAUAAUUAUAAUAUAACAAAUAUUUAAAUUUUUUAAAAAAAUAUAUAUAAUUUUUUUUUAAAAAAAAUUGGAGAGUGUUUUUGGUCCAUUGGGCCAAAAAGGAGAUCUCCUGGGAAGAAUGGCCAAGGGCCUUCUCCCCAGGAGAUCCAACCCCAAGGCCCAAGGGCCUUGGGGUUUCGGGCCAACACAGCCCAAGCAGGUCGUGCCGUGGCAGGCCACGGGCCUACCUUCGGCCCGGCAGGGCCCAGGCCCAUAUCGACCGUGCCGGUCCGAGCUGUCGGGCCCAAAAAGAUUGGCUUAGCAUGGCCCAUAGAGUCGAUGCUACAGUAGCCAUGCCGGGCCAUGGCCCGGGCCACAGUCGUGCCAAGCCGGGCGGCCCUUGGGCCGAAAAAUUCAAAAAAAAAUAUGUCGAAAAAUAAAAGAAAAGAAAAUAUAUUGUGGUCUUACACUGACCUAAAAUUGAUUGAAUAGAGAAUCGGAGCUCGGUAAUUAACUCUCAAAAUCAAUUAUAAUGAGCGAGAGUUAAAUAUUCACAUAUCAGUAGUCACAUAUCGGAUAAUUAAAAAUUAUAAAUCAUUGAUAUAAAUUAAAAGCCUCGUACCUUUUAUGCUUAACAUUUUAUGGAUGAAUUCAAACAAUUGGUAUCAGCGCGCCGGUGGUUUAAUUAUUUUGAGUCACUCAUUCGAGUGAUACGUUUUGGUGCAUUUAAACGAAUUCGGUCUAGAUCUAAUACAUGAUAUAAUAGUCGAUGGAUGAAUUUUAUUAGAUAUAUAUUGCUUUUAUUGAGCACAUGUGGGUUUUGUACUAGAAGGGCGAUUUCGAUCUAUAGAAUUUAUAUUACCUUCGAGGAACGAGCUAAAGUUGGUUUAAGGUGCACGUCUUUGUUGGGAAGCGCCUCAACAAGUUUUUGUUGAAAUAGUUUGGUAAGUGGUUUGACGCACUUCAUGUAUGUUUAGAUUUUAAAGUGUUAUUGUGAUACAAAAGUUUUUGGUUUGAAUCUUAAGAUCGUGUUGAAUGGUGGAUUUAGAUGCGGGGCGAAUGAGCGAUCACUUACUCUGGAUUUUCCUCUUAUCCAUAAGAUCGCACUAGUAAUAUUAAUUGGGCAAAUAAGAAAGCUAUAAUUGGGAACAAAGCUUUACUUAUUGGGCUGUAGAUCUAAAUUGAGCCCACAAAAUGUUAUUUUUUUAUAAUUCAACUUUUUAAAUAUUUUUAAAUUUAAUGAAUAAAGUUUAAAUAUUUAUUAAAACAUAACAUAUAUAGCUGGUUGAAAUAUAUUAAUUUAGAUGCCAAAUAGCCUAAAAAUUUAAUGAUACAGGACAAAACUAUUCUAAGUUGUCUAUAAAAUAGAUGACAAAAAUACUUGAAUUAUAAUAUAUGUAACGUUUAGAUACCGUGCCUCGCAUCUAAUAAUUUUUAGUCUAUGAAAAAAUAAAUGUAUAAAUUUAACUUGUACAUCUUAGGAAUACAACACGAUCAAAAUAAUUUUCUAUUUUCUUCUAUAUAUUCAAUCACACAUGAUAUAUUAUACUAUUCAAUAUUUCACCAACACACACACACAUAUAAGCUCCGCAUACCCAUUUUUUAUAGGUCAAAUAUUUUUUACUAUGCCAAAAAGAAUAAAUUUUAUUUAGGUGCAUGGUAUAAAUGAUAAUUUUUUCUCCAUUAAGGCCGAUAUUGGAAUAGUGUGAUAGUACUAUGAUAGCGCAUUAUAGUCCCGUUAUUGAGUUGACAGUUUGGGAAUGAUUAAAAUAUUAUAUUAUUAUCGUGUUAUCAGCUAUUAUUGCAGUAAAUAUAAAAGUUGGGAGUUCNAACUCCCAAAAAAAAAAAAAAAAAAAGGAAAAAAAAAAAUUCAGGGGUUAGGUACAAAUAAAGCAAAACUACAUGGACUCUUCACACAUUUUCCUCUACAAUAUCCUCUCCAAUUCACCACCAAAAAGGAGAAUUAAAAAAAAAAGAAAAUAAGGUCCAUACAUAAAUACAUUAAUUUUCUUUCAAUAUCCUAUGUACUCCAAUGGAGGUAGUAGCACUAUCAACAGCAACAUGGUCUCUACCUCCUCCCCCUCCUCCUCCUCAACCUCUCACCUCUCCAUCUCCUCCUCUCUCCUCUCUCCUCUUCAAGAGCUCUCCAUUGAAGAAGCAACAACCUUAUCUCCACAUCUCCUUUAAGAAGGAGAGGAGGUACGUUCUCACCCCUUUGAGGUGCUCACUUGGUGAGAGCCCAUCAACUGCUUCUUCUUCUUCUUCUUCUUCUUCUUCUGCUUCGGAAAGAUGGCUUCUUGAGCCUGCAGGUUCUUUUCUAUUUCUAGUUGUAUUUGUGAUGCUGUUCUCCCAAUUGGUUUUUUUUUUUUUUUUUUUUUAAUCUCUAGGUUAGAGUUUCUGUGAAUUUUUGUAGUGUGAUGCGUUUGAUGUUGAAUAUAAAAUAUUAAAAUAUUAUUUUUUGACAGUUUAAAAUAUUAUUAUCUCACAUCAUAAUUUUAUGGAAUUAGACUGGAAUGCGUCUAAUAGCAUCAAGUCAUUGGCGCUAUUUGAUUUUCGAUCUUUGAAUGAAAGGAUGUGUGGUUAAGAUGAUGGUAAUACCCUAGUCACUGUUUGGUUUGAGAAUAAAAGAGGGUUAAGGGGUUAUCCCCUCUUUUAUCUCCAAAUGGCAUCAAAUGAGGGGAGGGUUUGUAACCGCGACCCCUAACGGAUUAUCCCAAAUGGUAUCAAAUGGGGGUGGGGAUUGUUAACCCCAUCCCUGUCCGUUAGGGUGGGGUUAACAAUCCCACCCUCUUUAGAAUUGGGGUGGGAUUAGUUAAUUCCAUUCCAAUUUAUUUUUUAAAUAUAAUUAAAAUUUUAAUUUUUAAAUUUUAAAAAUUUAUAAUUUGUAAUCUUAAAAUUAUAUUAAUAUUUUUAAUUUAAAUUUAAAAUUUAAAAUUUUAUUUUUAAUUAUUUAAAUUUAAAUUUGACAUUUAUAUUUUGAAAAUUUUAAAAUGUAUAAUUUGCAAUCUUAAAAUUAAUAUUUAUUUUUUCUAAAUUUUAAAUUUCAAAAUUAAAUUUUAAAUUAUUAUUUUUUAUUAUUUAAAUUUUAAAUUUAAUAUUUUAUAUUUGAAAUUUUAAAAAUUUAUAAUUUGUAAUCUUAAAAUAUAUAUUUAUAUUUUUAAAUUUUACAUUUUAAAUUUUAAAUUUUAAAUUUUAAUCUUACAAUAUAGAUUUUAAUUUUGAAUUUUUUAAUUUUAAAAGUUAUCUAUUUAAAUUUGAAAUUUUAAAUAGAAAAUAAAAAAUUUAAAUUCAAAUAUAAUAAUUGAGGCAAUAUCAUCGUUUUCUAUUUAUAACUACCUACUAUCUUUUUUAUUCCACUUAUAACUCCAACCAAAUACUAUUUUGCUUAUAUCUGGACUAAACCCAAUUCUCAACCAAACACAAAAUUACUCUAAUCCCACCUUAACCUUAAACUUAACCCUAUCCCUGGAAUAACUAUUUCUUACUUAACCACGAAGCCGUAGUUUGAGUAGGUGGUUGGUUGAGUAGUAUGGUUUAACGGAUGAAAAUAGUUAAAUGGGUAAAUCUAACGAUGAAAAAUUUGGUAGCACCAAGUGUUUGGUGUUAUUAGAAACAAACCAGCUGGACUAUAUAGGGCUAUUGUAUUAUUAAGAGCAUUACAGUCUUUAUGGUCCUAACUUUCUAAUUAUCUAUCAAUUUUGAUGAAUGGUUAGGAUGAGAGAGAACAAAAAUUGAAAAGAAAUUCAAAGCGAAGAAAAUUGAGACACUCAAUUUCUCUUCUUAUCCUAACCAUUUAUUAAAAUUGAUGGUUAGGAAGUUAGGAGCACAAAGACCGCUAUACUUCUAAUAACCCAGUAACCCUAUAUAUAGGCCAUGGCUACUAUACUAUUAUGAGUAUUGGAGCCCUCGUACUCAUAAGUUGUUUUCAAUGAUGGAGCUUCACGAUCCACUCCGUUAAAUAUGAUCUAGAGUAUUUGAAACUUCUAGAAAAUAAAUUUCGUAAAUUUUCGAAAUCAUAAUAAAGUCCAUCAAGUGGGCAUAAAAUGAACGGUCAAAAUCGAACGACGUCCUAAAAAAGGAUGAUCGGAUCCUUCAAUUCAAGAUCAGAGUUAUUGAUCUUUAUCUAUGUAGUGAAUAGAAUUUUCUAUCAAAAAUUCAACAAAUUCUGAUUCUUUUACACCGUUAAACUAGCAAGUAUUCCAUACCGGCCGGUCGUUAAAAAUUGUCAAAUUUGUGACCUCUUGAUCGUAAGGUAAAUGAUGUCGAAAAUUUAUAAAAUUUGAUUUCUAGAAGUUUUAAAUGCUAUAAAUAACGUCUAACGGUGUGGAUCGUCGUUUCGGAAGCUCUAUCAUUGAAAACAACUUAUGAGUACAAGGGUGAUCGUACUCAUAAUAGUAUAGUGGCCGGACCCUAUAUAUAUAUAUAUAUAUAUAUAUAUAUAUAUAUAUAUAUAUAUAUAUAUAUAUAUAUAUAUAUAUAUAUGCUUAUGGUAGCCGGACCCUAUAUAUAUUAUCAGAGCAGGAAUUGCGGAGUUCAAAUUCUUGACUUUUUUCCGUUUAUGGAUACUAAAUCUCUUCAAUUUAGCCUUGCGAUGAAUCUUCUUGGUGUAAUACGCUAAUAAUUUUAAGUGUAACUAAACUUGAAUUACAGCUGAAUUAAAACACUCCUUUAAAGAUGAAUUUACAUGCACUUGGUGGUUUAUGCUUAUUGCCUGAUAUGUUUUAUGCUUUUAAAUCAUAUAUCUCCCAAACAACUAGAUUUCCAGAAGUAAGGCAUGAGGAUUUGGGUCGAUUUGAGCUUAGAUCGACUUGAUUCGGAGUUUCUCAAAAUAUGUUCACAAAAUCAAUGUCCAAAGGCUAUUAUUAACCAAGGAAAUGAUAUAGAAGAUAAACUUUGUUCAUAACAUAAUUAUAGUUUUCAGCCUGAAGUUCAGAGUACGAUUGGCAUUUGUUUCUGUUAAGACAUAUUCUGACAUGUUUUCUAUCAGAUCGAUCUUAUAAUUUCCGUAGCAUCUUAAGCUCCCACCGUCGAUUUGAUCCCACUUUCAACAUUAAGGGAGCGUUAAGACAAAUUCUAGGCCAUUUCUUUCUCCUUGUAAGUCACUAUUUUUCGUAGCCGAGAUACGAAUAGUUAAGUAACAGGUUUAGUUACAAUAAAAAUGAUGUAUGAACUAUUCUGCGUGUCAGCAUCAUGCUCUCUGAAUUCGAUCGCAAAUCGAUAGAACAAUCGUUAAAUUUCCAGGGCUCGAACCUUUACAUUGCGCAUGAAUUGCAGGUGAUGGGGAUUCACGGCACAUCGGAUACCGCGUUCCACUUCCUGAUGCAUUUGAAGUAGCUUCAGUAUGUUCUCUCCUGAUUAUCAGACUGUCAUUAGAAAAGCAAUGCAAGAUCCAAAAUUAAUUCUUUCUGUCCAUCUCUCCAGGAUACAGUGACUGUCGGUCGCCUUCCAGAGAACGCAGAUGUAGCCAUCCCUGUUGCCACUGGUAUGUAUCUGCCUUAAUUGUAUCUCAGAUGCUCAAUUCAUACUUUUUUUUCUUUUCUUUUUCUGGAAAAUUCUUUCAAUCAAAUAUCUAAAUCAGCUUAAUCGGAAAAAAAAAAAGGUACAAUCAAAUAUCUAAAUCAACCUAUAAGUGAGUGAGUACAAAAUCAUAUUUAUUUCCAGGGACGGAGCCAUUAUGAGAUUCACAUAUAAGUCUUAUGCAGUAAAAAAUUAAAAUAUCACAAAUUUUAGUUUUUACGCAGACCAAAUUAUUAUUAUUAUUAUUAUUUUUAACAAAACAUGUGUUUCCAAUCUUUCCCUAAACUCCUCGGCCCUUUUCCUCCACCGCCUCUAGUCCUACUCCUUGAUCAUCUCGUCAGCGCCGACAUCGCAGGCAAUAGAUAAUCGGUGAAUCUAACGAACUCUUUUCCCAACUUCCCGGCUUCGUGCUGUUUACAUCAACAUGUGUUUGUAUAUAUAUUUCAGAUAAGAUUUGUACGUAUAUUUUAGAAGGAAAAAAAAAAGAAGAAAAAAACAAAAGAGUUAUCUAAUGCGCUUGCACCUUGUACACAGUCUCUCGUAUUCAUGCCCGGCUUGAGAAAAAGAAGGGGAAUUUAUUCGUCACAGAUUUGGACAGCACAAAUGGAACAUAUAUUGGUUACGAGAAGCUUAAACCUGGUGCCGCCACGAAUGUACCCCCUGGGAGCUACAUAACUUUUGGUAAUUAAACAUUUGAAGAGAUUCAUUUAACUAGAGUUUGGCUUGUGUGCUUUCGAAAGUGAGGAGACCUCCAUGCUAUCGAGUCAUUUCUGAUAUUAAGACUUCUGAAUCAACGAUCUGUUUCAUUAGACUUGAUAUGAAGUAUUUGAAGUAUUUAGAAGAUAAAUUUUAUAAUUUUUUGACGUCAUUUACUUAGUGAUUGAAAGGGCUCAUAAUCAACUGUUUGAAAUAAAAAUCUCACAAAAAGUAUGCUAUUGUUUUAUAUGGUAUAAAUAAUUUUCUAUCAAAAUUUCACAUAAUUUGAAUAUUUCUAUACUGUUAAACUUGCAAACUGCUGACCACAACUAUUAUAAUUAUUGAUUUUGGGCCGCUUCGAUCACUGAGUAAAUGAUAUAAAAAAAUCAUAAAAUUUAUUUUCUAAAUUCUUUAAAUACUCUAAAUCAAGUUUAUCAGAGGCAGCCGUUGAUUCGAAAUUCUCAACAUCGAAAACGACUUGAUAGCACGGAGGCAACCGCGUUCCGAAAAGCACACAAGCCUAACACUUUUAACUAUCCUAUUAUGUCGCUUUUGGAAUUAAUUGUUCAUUAAUUUUAGAUGCAAUAAGCGUUAAUUAUUUGAACUUUUCGAUAAAAUUUGUUGGCAUGUAAUUAAAUUGCAGGUGAUAUCCACCUGGCUAUGUUUCGCGUUUCGAAGAUCGGAGUUGAUGCUGCUGCUGCAGAAGCAGGAGAGGUACCUGCUGCAGUUGAAACUUUGGAACAAACCAGCUGAGAGUCGAAGCCUUGUUCUUGUUCGAGUCGAUCUGUUUUCAUCUUGUUUAUUUUUGCAUGUAAUAUUAUCAAAUAAGCCCUUCAGUUCUGUGAAUUCUGAGAAGGGUUUUUUCGCCCGUGCUGUGUUAUGUUGUCAGGAUAAUUUAGUCUCGAAUAAAGUACGUCGGAUGUAAUUAAUAUGCGAAAGGGAAAUGAAAAAUUCUCAUUGGUGUCUGCUUAUAUGAUCGGAAGUUAACGCAUCACUACAUACUGAGUUUGUUUUGUUGGAUUAUGUGAAGUUACACUCCGAGUCGAUAUUAUGGUGAAAAAAAUCAAAGAUUUGAGAUUUCUAUAUGUGAAGUAUUCGUAACUCGAAGUUUUGAGUACUGGCACUGAAAAUUAUGUCAGAAAUUCCUCAGAAUUCGAAACUUUGACCGAAUAAGUUGAGUUUGACUGCAAUUUGAUUUAAUCUUGUGUCAUGAGAUUAGGAAAUAUUCAGGAGUACCUUCAAGAGGGUUUUUAAGAGGAGAUCAACAGUUAGAAGUGAAUCGGAGAUUCAGAUGGACGGCAGAGAUCAUUUCCUACAAGAAUUGGAGUUUUAGAGUUAUAAACCGUUGUAAUUCUUAGAGUUUUAUUGUUGAUAAAACCUAAUUAAGAGAAAAUUGUGGAGAACUCUUGAGAGAGAUUGUUGUAAUUCGAUCUUACUUUUUAUACUUUUGUGUUUUGAAUUAAUCGAAAAAUGCAUUAAGGUUGUUUUCUCUGUGGACGCAGGUCGACAUAUUGUUAACUGAACUACAUAAAUUCAAUAUUCUUAUGUUCUCUUAUUUGUUUUAUUGCUUUGUUGUCCUUGUAUUUCUUUUCUAAGAUCGUUUUUAUCUAUUUUUGUUUAUAAAAAAUGUCGUUUUUUGCUGUGCUCAUGUGCCGUGUGAAUUUGAGACGUGCUCGGUAAUCCUUUGGUUGGUCCCGUUCGUGUCUAAGAAUUACAAGUCUCAAGGAGUUAAUGGAUUUGUGGUUGAUCAACAAAUUUGGCCAUGAACAGUGUAUGUACUCAGUUUAAUGUACAGCAUGUUAAGUGGGCUGGAGAGGAACAAUCACACACACAUGAUUAACAUAUGCACAAGAUUUGGGAAGUUGCAUUGAAAUCUACAGAUUUUUGAGGAUUCACGCGCAAAAAAAUUUCCUUUGUUUUUCCAAUAAUUCAUGUUGAAUGAGUCGAGAGAGGUUUUGAGUAGUCUCCUUUUGUUUCUGUUUUUGUUUUUGUUUUUUCGCUUUAUUUCAAUUACGUGAUGCGCUGACUUAAACUUAAGACCGAUUGCCUUGAUAAAAAGCUAAUUAUCAAUAAGACUAUCAAAUUCAAUAUUUAAUUUGAUGUAUUUGGAUGUAACUGCUGCUAUAGUUAGAAUGCAGGAGGAGAUCCAACUGCAGCAGUUGAAAUUACAUCCAAACUGACUGCUACUUCAAUUGCAACAUUUGGAAAAAGUAAAUUUAAGUAAAAUAAUAAGCUUAACUUUUUGAACUUUUUUUAAACAAAAAUUAUUUUUUCUUUUCUGUAUGCAUUGGAGAUAAUUUUAUCAUUACGUGUAUAAAGUGAUAAAAUUUUAAAAAUGCACCUCUCAACUGCAUGUGACCAAACAAGACGCAUGUACGUAGUUAUAACUAUUGUAUUUUCAACUGCAUGUAUCUCUUCUAAUUGCAUUCAACCAAAAAGCUUUUAAAUAUAGUUAUGUUUUUUUUUUUUUAUUUGAUGGAGAAAGGUAGUGUGCCGGUGACACCUGAUUGCUUCUUUUCUUUACUCUUUUCUUUAGAAAUGAACAUAGUUAGAAUUGUGAAUAAUUAAGCUUCGAACUUUGAGAUAUCAGAUGCUAAUCAUUAAGCCUUUUACUACUUGCACCGAGGAUGAUCAGUCGUAAAUAGUGAUGAAAUUUCUGCAAUUCUUGGAUUUUUAUAUUUUUAUCCUUUUUUCCGCUUUUUUAGUUUCAUCAAGAUGCCAUCAGAGAUCCUAGUGAUUAAUAAAUUGUUUCGUGAAAUUGUCCUUCAUUUAUUUAUUUAUUUUUCCGUAAAUUCUCCAGUAGGAACAAUUGUGGAGCCCACAACAUGUGACAUAUAUAUCUAUAGAAAAUCCAUUAUAUCCAAACGUUUAAUAUUCUUUUUUUUUUUAUUAUUUAACAUUGGUGUGAGUUUAUUUUCUUACUGGAAUGUCUCGUCAUCAGUCAUCACUGCUUACGUACAAACUAAUUAAUAGUCUUUUUGAACUUAAUCUCGUAAAUUGUGUGAAAUAAUUAUUAUUAUAUAGAAAAGUGUUUUUAUUUUAAUUUUUAUGUUUAGUACUUUUCAUUACUUCUGAAUUCAAAAGGUUAAGCUAGUAUAGGAUAAUAUAUUUUUUUAUUUAACAGUCUUCUUACGUCUAAACUCGAGAUUCUUCGAUAGACCAUGCAGUAAGGUGGAUUCAAAUUAAAUAAAAAAAAAUUAAUUAUACUAAGAGCUUGAAAUAACUCAAAACUCAAAAAAAUCUUACUCUAAUAUCACGUUAGAUACACUGAAUAAUUGCAAUUCUUCAAAAAAGUUUAAGCUGCUAAAAAAUAACACAAUCCGGCCCCACCAUAAUAUAAUUUGGCCAAUUUGCAUAAAAAAUCCACUUAUUUUGGGCUUUUGCAAAAUCGGGCCACCUUUUUUAUUUUUGCAGAUUCGGUCCGCUUUUUCAGCAAACUGACCAAAAUACCCUUAUUACUUUUUCUCUUUUCUCUUUCUCUCUCCUCUUCGUUCUCUCGUUUUUUUUUUUUCCGCCGGAAAAAAAAAGCGAAGCCAGGCGGAACAAUUUUUUCUUCUCUUUUUCUUUUUCUUCUUCUUCUUCCUUCUGUUGGAGCACCUUUUUUUUUUUCCCUCUUCUUCUUUUUCUUCUUCUUCUUCUUCUUCUUUCUGUAAGAGCACGGGGCGCGCCACGGCGACUUCCGGCCUCGCCAAGCAGCGUCCACCCGGCGGCGUUCUGCAGGGAGGGGUCGGCACCAGCGACCGCGAGCGCCGCGGCGAUGGUGGGGGCGCGCGGGAGGCGGGCGGCAAGGUGGAGCGGGGUGUCGCAGCUGGNGGCGCGCCACGGCGACUUCCGGCCUCGCCAAGCAGCGUCCACCCGGCGGCGUUCUGCAGGGAGGGGUCGGCACCAGCGACCGCGAGCGCCGCGGCGAUGGUGGGGGCGCGCGGGAGGCGGGCGGCGAGGUGGAGCGGGGUGUCGCAGCUGGGGACGUCACGCCGGUCGAGGGCGGCGGUCACGCGCUCCGCCCGGCGCUCCGCUCGGGCGGCGUCGGCCGCCGUUGCGAUCUCCAACGGCUUCUUCUUCUUCGUAAUGGUGUAAUGGUGCACGCGGGCCGGUGCACGCAGCGGCGGCGGGCGGGCACGCGGGAGUGCUGCGGCUGCUUCUUCUUCGUCAUAAUGGUGUAAUGGUGCACUAUUACACCAUUAAUGGUGUAAUGGUGUAAUUACACCAUUAACGGUGUAAUGGUGCACCAUUACACCAUUAAUAGUAAAAUUACACCAUUAAUGAUGUAACCAUUACACCAUUAAUGGUGAAAUUACACCAUUAAUGGUGUAAUGGUGUAAUUAAUGGUGUAAUGGUGUAAUUACACCGUUAACGGUGCACGCGACUCGCGGAGCGGAGCCGCGGGUGGAGCUCCAGCGCCGCCGCAAUGAAGCCAUGGCUCGCCGGCGCCGGCGGUGGCGCCGCCACAGUGAAGAUGCCCACCGCUCCCUGGAUGACAGGCCCCCUCCUCCUCCCCUCCGACCAUGUCCUCGACUUCUCCCAGAAUCCUCCCCUCCGACCAUGUCCUCGAUUUCUCCCAGAAGCAGAAGCAGAAACAGAAGCGGGGUGAAGGAGACGCCUCCUCCCUCACCGCCACGGUCCGCGUCNGCGGCGGCCUCUCCGGCGCCGCCACCUCGUCCCCCGCCUCCGCCGCCGCGGGGGCGGCGUCGCCGAGGGAGCGGAUGCUGCGGACAAUCCCGCGCAUCGCGUGGCGGCUACGGCCGACGCGGACCGUGGCGGUGAGGGAGGAGGCGUCUCCUUCACCCCGCUUCUGUUUCUGCUUCUGCUUCUGGGAGAAAUCGAGGACAUGGUCGGAGGGGAGGAUUCUGGGAGAAGUCGAGGACAUGGUCGGAGGGGAGGAGGAGGGGGCCUGUCAUCCAGGGAGCGGUGGGCAUCUUCACUGUGGCGGCGCCACCGCCGGCGCCGGCGAGCCAUGGCUUCAUUGCGGCGGCGCUGGAGCUCCACCCGCGGCUCCGCUCCGCGAGUCGCGUGCACCGUUAACGGUGUAAUUACACCAUUACACCAUUAAUUACACCAUUACACCAUUAAUGGUGUAAUUUCACCAUUAAUGGUGUAAUGGUUACAUCAUUAAUGGUGUAAUUUUACUAUUAAUGGUGUAAUGGUGCACCAUUACACCGUUAAUGGUGUAAUUACACCAUUACACCAUUAAUGGUGUAAUAGUGCACCAUUACACCAUUAUGACGAAGAAGAAGCAGCCGCAGCACUCCCGCGUGCCCGCCCGCCGCCGCUGCGUGCACCGGCCCGCGUGCACCAUUACACCAUUACGAAGAAGAAGAAGCCGUUGGAGAUCGCAACGGCGGCCGACGCCGCCCGAGCGGAGCGCCGGGCGGAGCGCGUGACCGCCGCCCUCGACCGGCGUGACGUCCCCAGCUGCGACACCCCGCUCCACCUCGCCGCCCGCCUCCCGCGCGCCCCCACCAUCGCCGCGGCGCUCGCGGUCGCUNAACGGCGGCCGACGCCGCCCGAGCGGAGCGCCGGGCGGAGCGCGUGACCGCCGCCCUCGACCGGCGUGACGUCCCCAGCUGCGACACCCCGCUCCACCUUGCCGCCCGCCUCCCGCGCGCCCCCACCAUCGCCGCGGGGUUGGCGGUCGCUGGUGCUCGUCGGGCUUGUGUGCGAAGAACGCAAACGCGGCGGGUGGAGCCGGUCUCGUCCUUGCAGAGGCGGGUGCGGUACUAGGCCGGGUGGAGCCCGGACUCGAACAGCCGGUCACGAGGAGGGAAGAAGAAGAAGAAGAAGAAGGAGAAGAAGAAAAGAAGAGGGAAAAAAAAAAGGUGCUUCAGCAAGAGGAAGAAGAAGAAGAGAAAGAAAAAUAGAAGAAAAAAUUGCUCCGCCUGGCCUUUGCUUUUUUUUUUUCCGACGGAAAAAAAAAAGAACGAGAGAACGAAGAGGAGAGAGAAAGAGGAAAGAGAAAAAGUAAUAAGGGUAUUUUGGUCAGUUUGCUGAAAAAGCGGACCGAAUCUGCAAAAAAUGAAAAAGGUGGCCCGAUUUUGCAAAAGCCCAAAAUAAGUGGAUUUUUUAUACAAAUUGGCCAUAUAAUUUUGAACCAAUAUACAAAUUAAGUUACUCUGAACUCUUUUUCAAUUAAUCACUCUUCAUGCUCUUUUAAAGUUAAUACUAAUUAAUACUCAGAAUCACUCUUGGCUCUUUUCUAAUCACAUUUUAUACUCUUUCGUAGUUAUUUCUAACUCACACUCUUUCACCUGAGUCUUUUUGCCAACUUUAUUAAAUCAUGUUUAAUUAAUUCCUGCUUAGUCCCUAGGCCUUACUCAUUAAGAUCAAAUGUAUCAUCGAUAACUCGAUCGCAACACGCAAAUUAAACAACUUAAAUUUUCAAGUCAUUGGCUAGCUCCAAUUAACACCAGUUAUUGAGAGUAAGAUAAAGUUCAUAAUUAAUUUGGUAGAUUAACUCACUAAUCCCCAGAGAUUAAACCUUUUUAUGUUUUCCACUAUUGAUACAUCUCAACUUUGAUAUCAAAAAAAAAAAAAAAAAAUCAUAUCAACUUGUUAGUUGUUACCAUGCAAACUUAUUAACUUGUAGUUUAGCAGGACUAUUGGAAAAUAUAUAUAUAACGGUUGGAAGCGUUAUUUUCUUUGAUACCAAUUGUUGGAACUAGUAUUUGUACUGAUACCGAUUAUAUAACACAAGAUUUAAAAUAGAACAAAAUAAUAUGAAGAAUAGAUAUUGGAGGAGGAAGAAGGUAACUAAACUAAUACUUUAUUAAUAAAAGACAAUUAAUUACAUUCUCGGUAACACCCAUGCAGCCAUGUCUACUAUGACUUAGGCUUAGUUUGGUAUUGAGGUCUAUCUAACGCUAUUAGAUAAAAUGGAGUUGAGAAAAAAGCAUAUAGGGAUAUGCUUCUGCGUUAUCCGGUGGGACCGCAGAAAAUAUAUCAUAACUGACUCAUCGCGAUAUGCGGAACGCAAUAUUACGUACGAAAACAAACAGGGUAUUUUUCCAUCGUCGUUUCUCACCGCACAUAACGCAAUCUCCCCGCAAUCCCAAACGAAACCUUAUUCCUCUAAUUAACCCAUUCCUCUAACUAAUCCAUGUCUAACUAUAUAUAACCAUCAAAUCAUAAUAGAUGAUAAAUCUAAUUUUACUUUGGAUAAAUACAUAUCCUAACCAUAAUAAAAUAUUUAAAUUUAUCUAUAACUAUAUUUUAAUUAAGUUUGAAUUAUUAUUUCCAACAUCCUCCCUUAAUUCAAACUUUAUCUACGAGUCGCAAAUCCCGUGAACACGCACUU